This 497-nucleotide ribosomal RNA is filed under the name uncultured bacterium. RNAcentral's name for it is "partial 16S ribosomal RNA". It matches the Rfam family "Bacterial small subunit ribosomal RNA", at positions 28 to 507 of the family's 1533-position model. The record is from RNAcentral.
GACGAACGCUGGCGGCGUGCCUAAUACAUGCAAGUUGAGCGCUGAAGGUUGGUACUUGUACCAACUGGAUGAGCAGCGAACGGGUGAGUAACGCGUGGGGAAUCUGCCUUUGAGCGGGGGACAACAUUUGGAAACGAAUGCUAAUACCGCAUAAAAACUUUAAACACAAGUUUUAAGUUUGAAAUAUGCAAUUGCAUCACUCAAAGAUGAUCCCGCGUUGUAUUAGCUAGUUGGUGAGGUAAAGGCUCACCAAGGCGAUGAUACAUAGCCGACCUGAGAGGGUGAUCGGCCACAUUGGGACUGAGACACGGCCCAAACUCCUACGGGAGGCAGCAGUAGGGAAUCUUCGGAAAUGGACGAAAGUCUGACCGAGCAACGCCGCGUGAGUGAAGAAGGUUUUCGGAUCGUAAAACUCUGUUGGUAGAGAAGAACGUUGGUGAGAGUGGAAAGCUCAUCAAGUGACGGUAACUACCCAGAAAGGGACGGCUAACUACGUG